UCCAACUCUCGCUGACCAUUCCCAGGUUCUUGCAGAAACGCUUGAACCUCAGAGAGGGAAGGAAUCCCAGGGCAGAAAUAAGUUUGGGUGCAUUUCCAGCUUUCUGUUUCUGCUUGUUUGCUUUUGCAGCCGCUCACUCCGAAUGCGCGUGGAGCGCCCCAUAGCACCACCGCCCUCCGCGCGCUGGCGCGCACACGCCCCCCGCCAGCCUGGGCGCCCGGCUGCGAACCCCGGGUCUGCAAACUUGAGGAUCUCCCCUCUUCGCGCUCGCCAGACAACUUAGCGAGCACCUCACGCUCCUGUACCCCCUUCCUCCAGCCCUUCCUCCAAAUCCCAAGCCCACCGUCGCGUUCCAGAGAAGGUGCCCACGUCGCCCCCAGAUCCAGGAGCGCCCCCUCUCCACCCCCGGGGCUUCCCAGGUCGCUCACUCCUCCCGCACCCCCUCAGCUCUGCGGGGGACCGAAAACACACCCCGUCUGGGGCAGCCAGGGCCGAAACUGUCAAGAGGAGAAAAGGUAAAGCGGGAGGAGGGUGGCCAUAAACGGAUUCUUUUUUCUUCUUAAAAGGACACUGCCGCUUUAAAAGUUUCUUUCCCGGGCCCCCACUCUCCGGUUCUCCGUAUUUUGGGGGAGCGUAUUUAAUUUGGACUACGCGGCUUUCCUCCUCUCUUCGCAGAAAAAUCAAAGCCAGGGGAGAUCGCUGGAGAUGGCGAGCUCCGAGACUCCCUCUAUCUUCUGUUUUCAGAGCAACUCUAUGCCCAGAGACAGAAACGAGGAUCAGCGAGAUGAUCCUGUGCCUACUUCUGAGAAUCUCUCGGGAACAGCACUCGUCCCCAUCUGCAGCCAGACUGAGAAGAGACAAAUGCGAUCAUCCACGUUGGGGAAUCGCAGGUAGCUCCCUGCCAGCCCACCCCAGAACUAAGGAGAAACUAAAAAGGAAUUCGACCUGGCCCAACACCCCAAGGAAGGAGGAGGAUGGGGGGACGUGGCACUUUUUACUUCGGGAUGGGACGCCCAGUGGGUUUCCAGACUUGGUUUGAUACGUCUGUG
Long non-coding RNA from Lontra canadensis (Northern American river otter), 1049 nucleotides. RefSeq lists it as uncharacterized. The record is from RefSeq and is a predicted model, not a curated record. Lineage: Eukaryota; Metazoa; Chordata; Mammalia; Carnivora; Mustelidae. The transcript is spliced from 3 exons.